Molecule: RNA transcript, 1663 nt
Organism: Mandrillus leucophaeus (drill)
Lineage: Eukaryota; Metazoa; Chordata; Mammalia; Primates; Cercopithecidae
Gene name: keratin, type II cytoskeletal 8 pseudogene
Exons: 2
Source: RefSeq, a predicted model, not a curated record
AUGUCCAUCAGGGUGACCCAGAAGUCCUACAAGGUGUCACCUCUCUGCCAGGGGCCUUCAGCAGCCACUCCUACAAGAGUGGGCCCAGUGCCCUCAUCAGCUUCUCGAGCUUCUCCCAAGUGGGCAGCAGCAGCUUCCAGUGUGGCCUGGGUGGAAGUUAUGGUGGGGCCAGCAGCAUGGGAGACAUCACCACUGUCACAGUCAACCAGAGCCUGCUGAGCCCCCUUAACCUGAAGGUGGACCCCAACAUCCAGGCAGUGCGCACACAGGAGAAGGAGCAGAUCAAGACCCUCAGCAACAAGUUUGCCUCCUUCAUCGACAAGGUACAGUUCCUGGAGCAGCAGAACAAGAUGCUGGAGACCAAGUGGAGCCUCCUGCAGCAGCAGAAGAGGGCUUGGAGCAACAUGGACAACAUGUUCCAGAGCUACAUCAACAACCUUAGGCGGCAGCUGGAGACUCUGGAUCAGGAGAAGCUGGAGCUGGAGGCAGAGCUUGGCAUCACGCAGGGGCUGGUGGAGGACUUCAAGAACAAGUACAAGGAUGAGAACAAUAAGCAUAUAGAGAUGGAGAAUGAAUUUGUCCUUAUCAAGAAGGAUGUGGAUGAAGCUUAUGUGAACAAGUUAGAGCUGGAGUCUCCCCUGGAAGGGCUGACUGAUGAGAUCAACUUCCUCAGGCAGCUGUAUGAAGAGGAGAUCCGGAAGCUGCUGUCCCAGAUCUGGGACAUGUCUGUGGUCCUGUCCAUGGACAACAGCCGCUUCCUGGACAUGGACAGCAUCAUCGCUGAGGUCAAGGUGCAGUACGAGGAGGUCACCAAGUGAAGCAGGGCUGAGGCUGAGAGCAUGUACCAGAAUAAGUAUGAGGAGCUGCAGACGCUGGCUGGGAAGCACGGGGAUGACCUGCAGUGCACAAAGACUGAGAUCUCCGAGAUGAACCAGAACAUCAGCCAGCUCUAGGCUGAGAUUGAGGGCCUCAAAGGCCAGAGGGCUUCCCUGGAGGCCGCCAUCACAGUUGCUGAACAGCCGGGAAGCUGGCCAUUAAAGAUGCCAACACCAAGGUGUCCGAGCUAGAGGGUACCCUGCAGCAAGCCAAGCAGGACUUGGAGCGGCAGCUGCGCGAGUACCAGAAGCUGAUGAACAUCAAGCUGGCCCUGGACAUCGAGAUUGCCACCUACAGAAACCUGCUGCAGGGCGAGGAGAACCAGCUGGAGUCUGAGAUGCAGAACAUGAGUAUCCAUAGGAAGACCACCAGCGGCUAUGCAGGUGGGCUGAGCUCGACCUAGGGGGACCUCACAACUCCCAGCCUCAGCUAUGGCCUGGGUUCCAGUUUUGGCUCUGCUGCAGGCUCCAGCUCCUUCAGCCAAACCAGUUCCACCAGGGUCAUGGUUGUGAAGAAGAUCGAGACCCGCGAUGGGAAGCUGGUGUCGGAGUCCUCUGAUGUCCUGCCCAAGUGAACAGCUGCGGCAGCCCCUCCAGCCUACCCCUGCUGCGGCUGCCCCAGAGCCUUGGAGGGAGGCCGCUGUGCAGGGGAGCACAGGGAACAGGAGACCCACCUGAGGCUCAGCCCUAGCCCUCAGCCCACUGGCAGGGGAGUUUACUGACUGGGGAACCCCCUUGCCCAUGCCUCCAGCUACAAAACAAUUCAAUUGCUCUGUUCUUUUUGGACC